This 327-nucleotide ribosomal RNA is filed under the name Triticum aestivum (bread wheat). RNAcentral's name for it is "partial small subunit ribosomal RNA". Lineage: Eukaryota; Viridiplantae; Streptophyta; Magnoliopsida; Poales; Poaceae. The record is from RNAcentral.
AUGGAAUGUACUUGCAAGCUCACAACAACCAGAAGCAAUCAAGACAAACAACAACAUGGCAUUUACAGGUUUCUUAGCAAUGAUGAACAUCAUACUAUUAGAACAACAUGGCAUGUACAACAUGAUACAACUAGAACAAUACGAGCAUGGCAUGAACAUAUGAACAUGAUGAUACUAGCAUGCAACAUGAUAACGCUAUCAUGCACCAACUUACGGUGCUCGGGUUACCUCAUAACCAUCACAUGCAUAAGCUUACCAUCACGAACAUCAUACGAUCAUCUCAGGAUCCAAUCAACCUUGGUAUUACCAUACUGUAGUAAUCAUUAA